GACGAACGCUGGCGGCGUGCUUAACACAUGCAAGUCGAACGGAAAGGCCCUGCUUUUGUGGGGUGCUCGAGUGGCGAACGGGUGAGUAACACGUGAGUAACCUGCCCUUGACUUUGGGAUAACUUCAUGAAACUGGGUCUAAUACCGGAUAGGAUCUACUGCUGCAUGGUGGGCGUUGGAAAGUUUCGGCGGUUGGGGAUGGACUCGCGUUGGAUUAGCUAGUUGGUAGGGUAGUAGCCUACCAAGGCGUCCACCCGUAGCUGGUCUGAGAGGAUGAUCAGCCACACUGGGACUGAGACACGGCCCAGACUCCUACGGGAGGCAGCAGUGGGGAAUAUUGGACAAGGGGCGAAAGCCUGAUCCAGCACUGCCGCGUGAGUGAUGAAGGCCUUAGGGUUGUAAAGCUCUUUUACCCGGGAUGAUAAUGACAGUACCGGGAGAAUAAGCUCCGGCUAACUCCGUG
Molecule: ribosomal RNA, 463 nt
Filed under: uncultured bacterium
Lineage: Bacteria
Description: partial 16S ribosomal RNA
Rfam family: Bacterial small subunit ribosomal RNA
Source: RNAcentral